GAUGAACGCUGACAGAAUGCUUAACACAUGCAAGUCAACUUGAACUUCGGUUUGGGUGGCGGACGGGUGAGUAACGCGUAAAGAACUUGCCUCACAGAUAGGGACAACAUUUGGAAACGAAUGCUAAUACCUGAUAUUAUGAUUAUAUGGCAUCGUAUAAUUAUGAAAGCUAUAUGCGCUGUGAGAGAGCUUUGCGUCCCAUUAGCUAGUUGGAGAGGUAACGGCUCACCAAGGCGAUGAUGGGUAGCCGGCCUGAGAGGGUGAUCGGCCACAAGGGGACGGAGACACGGCCCUUACUCCUACGUGAGGCAGCAGUGGGGAAUAUGGGACAAUGGACCAAGAGUCUGAUCCAGCAAUUCUGUGUGCACGAUGAAGUUUUUCGGAAUGUAAAGUGCUUUCAGUUGGGAAGAAAAAAAUGACGGUACCAACAGAAGAAGUGACGGCUAAAUACGUG
This 454-nucleotide ribosomal RNA is filed under the name uncultured bacterium. RNAcentral describes it as "partial 16S ribosomal RNA". It matches the Rfam family "Bacterial small subunit ribosomal RNA", at positions 28 to 507 of the family's 1533-position model. The record is from RNAcentral.